Molecule: long non-coding RNA, 2259 nt
Organism: Bradysia coprophila
Lineage: Eukaryota; Metazoa; Arthropoda; Insecta; Diptera; Sciaridae
Source: RefSeq, a predicted model, not a curated record
AUUGUCAUAGUUUUUUCAUUCGAUCAAGAUUACAUUCGAUCAAAGUUUCAUUCAAUUAAACGCACGAAAUCAAUCGUGCAAAGUUAUCAUUUUCAUAUAUCGAACCUUAGCUACUAAGCUAUCGAACGUACAAUUUCUGGGAUCUAAGAGAGCGUUGUCGUAAACUCACUCGUUAUCGCAAUCGACAAUGACAUCUUUAUGCUAAACACUUAAUUCAAUUGUACCUCAAGAAAAUACAGAUGAUUCCCACUUUGGUUGAUUGGAAUGAAGGAAUUGUGGUUUCUAGUAACAUUAGACAUCAAUAUACUUUCGUAAUUCGUAUCGGAGGAUAUGGAGCCCAUGGAGGUGAACGAUAAAUUAUAGUAUCCGGCAAUGCGUUUGCUGAUACGAUUACCUUUUAAGUGAAAUUGUAUUUUAACAUGACCUACAAUAAUGUAAAAGUAAAAACUUUCUCACCAAGCUUAAUAACAGUAAGGUAACACUAACUAACAACCACUUCAUUUUGCAGUUUGAAAUUUCUGAAGGUUUAUUUGACGAUAAGCCCGACGAAUUUGCUAUUUUAUUCAGAAAAUAGUCUAUUUUAAUUUCUUGAAUACAUCAAUACUUUUGGAUUAAUUUCUUCCACAAGAUACACUUGGCAUAAACGUCUGCAUACGACGAGGGGUUAACAACUAGAAGAAAUGAUGGGACAUGAGGCAGGAUUUUAUUUUUACUUUUUAUAUGUAACUCGGCAUCGUAAUCUGCAAAAUUUGCAAACUUUAGAUGCAUCUGUUACAUAAAUCGGUUUAUGAGUCUCGGUGCAAAGUACUUUAUUGGGUAAUGUGUAUUAUGACACACGGCCUGCUCACACAUCUACUAGUGCUUAAUAAUAGUUAUUUACAUAACAAUCUUGUCAACAUCAUCUUGUCAAGAGGCACACGAAAACAAGACUUUUCAUCGUUUUAUACCUAGUUAUGUAAUGCUUUUGAAACUUAAACCGAUUUUCUUGUUUUCACGAGGUGUGUAAAUGCCACUUUCGACCCUAGAGAGACCAAAAAAAUUGUAUUCGUACCACAGACGAAAAGUCUUUUUUAGCAUGUGAACAUGUGCAUCCAGAACGAGCCGAAGGCGAAAGGUACGAAAUGUACUAUUGCACUCGAUGUCAUAAAUAACCAUUUAUUUUUACACUGAGUUCUAUGUUGUGUACAGUACAUCAAUAAACGAAGUCUAUACGAUUUAAAAUAUUCCGUCCACAACAGAUACGUAUACAACUUUUCAUGCUGAGGGCCCAAGUUAAGAGCAAAAUUCCGAAAUUUAUUCUAUGAAUUGAACAAGACGCAAUGAUUAAAUGAAAAUUUGUUAGAUAGAGUCUCAUUGACUUCCUGUUGAAUGAAUCAAUUAAGUCCAUACCACUAUCACGACAGAGUAAAAUAAACCAAGCAGGAGCGGUAAAAUACAGGAGGCUACUAGAUUAUUCAGGUCUCUUGUCAAAUCAGCGCGCCUGGUUAAUUUUACUCUGUUGUGCCGGUAUACGAUACCGUAUACCACUUAAAUCGAUAAAGCAAAAUUAUCCUUGAAAGAACAUCUGCAUUCAUUUGCGGGUGUGGACUAUGAACAACUAAGCCAGGUAUUUUGUUAACAAAUUUUCCUAAGUUUGCGUCAAUUCGUUGUUGAUUUAGUUUGUCGGUAUUUACUCUUCAGAAUUUUACGUCUGUUUGAAUUGAUGAAUUCUGUAAAACGCCAAAAGCUUCCAUAUCCAAGCAAGUGUUGAAUUUUCAAUUAGUUUGAACAGUUAUGGAAAAUUCAUUAAAUUUUCAAUAUAAAUACGACGCAUUUGCCUGAACAUUUGUCAUUCGACUUCAAUCAUUCGUCAAAAUGAAUCCUAAAACGUGUUUCAAAGUUGUUGUAAUAUUCGUGUUGCUGGGUCUCGUAUCAGCUAGAAGCAAAGUAGGUGGUCUAGGUCAACGGCCCAGAUGUAGAAAAGCUAUCAACAUAAUCGACUUAGUCGAUGAUGUUGUUAAUCCAAUACUGGAAGAUCCAUGCGAAAUUGUAACUUGUCUAUUGAAUUUUACAUGUCAACGAACUUGCAUUUCUCCGACUUUAACAACAGUCCUUGGAUUGGUAGCUGAUUUGAUAAAUACAGCCGUAUGUAAUGAUGGACUAGUGCCAUGUCCCGAUAACCUGGCAAUCGAAAAAUGUUUAAAUCCGGACGGACGAAAAGCGCUCCUAGGAUUGUAGACUUUCAAAUAAAAACAUAAUUUUUGUAAACGGAAACUCAAA